GUACUUGCUUUGGCAGCACAUAAACUAAAACUGGAAUGAAGAAGAUGAACAUGGUUUCUUGGCCCCUGUACAAAUAUGACAGGCAAAUUUAUGAAGCAUUCCAUAUUUUU
Molecule: small nuclear RNA, 110 nt
Organism: Sarcophilus harrisii (Tasmanian devil)
Lineage: Eukaryota; Metazoa; Chordata; Mammalia; Dasyuromorphia; Dasyuridae
Source: Ensembl